UAUUUCCCGCCGCCGGGUGGGGAGUUCGGGCGUCAGAUUUCAUAUCAUUAGGCCAUUGAAGAUGUGAAAUGCUGGCGUAUUUUUUUU
Molecule: non-coding RNA, 87 nt
Filed under: unclassified sequences
Source: RNAcentral